UACGUAGGGUGCAAGCGUUGUCCGGAAUUAUUGGGCGUAAAGAGCUCGUAGGCGGUCUGUCGCGUCUGCUGUGAAAACUCAGGGCUUAACCCCGGGCCUGCAGUGGGUACGGGCAGACUAGAGUGCGGUAGGGGAGACUGGAAUUCCUGGUGUAGCGGUGAAAUGCGCAGAUAUCAGGAGGAACACCGGUGGCGAAGGCGGGUCUCUGGGCCGUAACUGACGCUGAGGAGCGAAAGCAUGGGGAGCGAACAGG
This 253-nucleotide ribosomal RNA is filed under the name uncultured bacterium. Its description in RNAcentral is "partial 16S ribosomal RNA". It matches the Rfam family "Bacterial small subunit ribosomal RNA", at positions 524 to 776 of the family's 1533-position model. The record is from RNAcentral.